This 373-nucleotide ribosomal RNA is filed under the name uncultured bacterium. RNAcentral's name for it is "bacterial SSU rRNA". It matches the Rfam family "Bacterial small subunit ribosomal RNA", at positions 525 to 896 of the family's 1533-position model. The record is from RNAcentral.
ACGAAGGGUGCAAGCGUUAAUCGGAAUUACUGGGCGUAAAGGGUGCGUAGACGGUUUGUUAAGUCGGAUGUGAAAGCCCCGGGCUCAACCUGGGAACUGCAUCCGAAACUGGCAGGCUAGAGUGCGAUAGAGGAUGGUGGAAUUCCCGGUGUAGCGGUGAAAUGCGUAGAGAUCGGGAGGAACAUCUGUGGCGAAGGCGGCCAUCUGGAUCAGCACUGACGUUGAGGCACGAAAGCGUGGGGAGCAAACAGGAUUAGAUACCCUGGUAGUCCACGCCCUAAACGAUGUCGACUGGAUGUUGGUCACAAUUUGGUGAUCAGUAUCGAAGCUAACGCGUUAAGUCGACCGCCUGGGGAGUACGCACGCAAGUGUG